Molecule: non-coding RNA, 189 nt
Organism: Cathartes aura (turkey vulture)
Lineage: Eukaryota; Metazoa; Chordata; Aves; Accipitriformes; Cathartidae
Source: Rfam
CACACUUCCCAGCUGUUGGCUAAGAUCAACUGCAUCAUCUUUUCUUAUCACUUCAAUAUCUGAUACAUCCUCAGCUUGAAGAUUUUAUAUUAAAUGGAUUUGGAGGGCACGGGAAGGAGUAACUGCUUCUUCCAUCCACUCCAUGCAUCAACUCGAAACUGCAGUGCUUCCAGGUACCGUGGCCGCAUC